This is a long non-coding RNA of Pseudophryne corroboree (corroboree frog), 304 nucleotides long. RefSeq lists it as uncharacterized. Lineage: Eukaryota; Metazoa; Chordata; Amphibia; Anura; Myobatrachidae. The transcript has 2 exons. The record is from RefSeq and is a predicted model, not a curated record.
ACCUGGAAACACACACAGGUCACCAACUGCUCACCAGCAGCUUACUGGCAGCUCACCGGCAGGAGGAGAAAUAACCAGCAGCAGAUACCAUUGAAUAAGUCACGAUGCCUCCAAAAUGGCUGAUUGGAUUUUGGGACUCCAUCACUGCAUGCUACCCUUGCAGGAAAUAUCGCAAGUGGUCUUCAAGGAGAAGAGACGCCCACGUGCCUCGCCCUACCGGGCAUGAGGCAGAAGAUCUGACUCCAAAUGAGCAGGUGGAUAAUCUCAACUCUAAUAGCAGUUUGGACAGGGAACAACGUCCCAG